ACGACGGGUAGCCGGCCUGAGAGGGUGUCCGGCCACACUGGGACUGAGAUACGGCCCAGACUCCUACGGGAGGCAGCAGUGGGGAAUAUUGCACAAUGGGCGCAAGCCUGAUGCAGCGACGCCGCGUGAGGGAUGACGGCCUUCGGGUUGUAAACCUCUUUCACCACGGACGAAGCGCGAGUGACGGUACGUGCAGAAGAAGCACCGGCCAACUACGUGCCAGCAGCCGCGGUAAUACGUAGGGUGCGAGCGUUGUCCGGAAUUACUGGGCGUAAAGAGCUCGUAGGUGGUUUGUCGCGUUGUUCGUGAAAACUCACAGCUCAACUGUGGGCGUGCGGGCGAUACGGGCAGACUGGAGUACUGCAGGGGAGACUGGAAUUCCUGGUGUAGCGGUGGAAUGCGCAGAUAUCAGGAGGAACACCGGUGGCGAAGGCGGGUCUCUGGGCAGUAACUGACGCUGAGGAGCGAAAGCGUGGGGAGCGAACAGGAUUAGAUACCCUGGUAGUCCACGCCGUAAACGGUGGGUACUAGGUGUGGGUUUCCUUCCUUGGGAUCCGUGCCGUAGCU
This 567-nucleotide ribosomal RNA is filed under the name uncultured bacterium. RNAcentral describes it as "bacterial SSU rRNA". It matches the Rfam family "Bacterial small subunit ribosomal RNA", at positions 276 to 853 of the family's 1533-position model. The record is from RNAcentral.